GACGAACGCUGGCGGCGUGCCUAAUACAUGCAAGUUGAGCGCUGAAGGUUGGUACUUGUACCAACUGGAUGAGCAGCGAACGGGUGAGUAACGCGUGGGGAAUCUGCCUUUGAGCGGGGGACAACAUUUGGAAACGAAUGCUAAUACCGCAUAAAAACUUUAAACACAAGUUUUAAGUUUGAAAGAUGCAAUUGCAUCACUCAAAGAUGAUCCCGCGUUGUAUUAGCUAGUUGGUGAGGUAAAGGCUCACCAAGGCGAUGAUACAUAGCCGACCUGAGAGGGUGAUCGGCCAACUUGGGACUGAGACACGGCCCAAACUCCUACGGGAGGCAGCAGUAGGGAAUCUUCGGGAAUGGACGAAAGUCUGACCGAGCAACGCCGCGUGAGUGAAGAAGGUUUUCGGAUCGUAAAACUCUGUUGGUAGAGAAGAACGUUGGUGAGAGUGGAAAGCUCAUCAAGUGACGGUAACUACCCAGAAAGGGACGGCUAACUACGUG
This 497-nucleotide ribosomal RNA is filed under the name uncultured bacterium. RNAcentral describes it as "partial 16S ribosomal RNA". It matches the Rfam family "Bacterial small subunit ribosomal RNA", at positions 28 to 507 of the family's 1533-position model. The record is from RNAcentral.